This 490-nucleotide ribosomal RNA is filed under the name uncultured bacterium. RNAcentral's name for it is "partial 16S ribosomal RNA". It matches the Rfam family "Bacterial small subunit ribosomal RNA", at positions 30 to 507 of the family's 1533-position model. The record is from RNAcentral.
AUUGAACGCUGGCGGCAGGCCUAACACAUGCAAGUCGAACGGUAACAGGAAGAAGCUUGCUUCUUUGCUGACGAGUGGCGGACGGGUGAGUAAUGUCUGGGAAACUGCCUGAUGGAGGGGGAUAACUACUGGAAACGGUAGCUAAUACCGCAUAACGUCGCAAGACCAAAAAGGGGGACCUUCGGGCCUCUUGCCAUCGGAUGUGCCCAGAUGGGAUUAGCUAGUAGGUGGGGUAACGGCUCACCUAGGCGACGAUCCCUAGCUGGUCUGAGAGGAUGACCAGCCACACUGGGACUGAGACACGGUCCAGACUCCUACGGGAGGCAGCAGUGGGGAAUAUUGCACAAUGGGCGCAAGCCUGAUGCAGCCAUGCCGCGUGUAUGAAGAAGGCCUUCGGGUUGUAAAGUACUUUCAGCGGGGAGGAAGGGAGUAAAGUUAAUACCUUUGCUCAUUGACGUUACCCGCAGAAGAAGCACCGGCUAACUCCGUG